GACGAACGCUGGCGGCGUGCCUAACACAUGCAAGUCGAGCGGGGACAUAUUCGGAAGGUCUUCGGAUUGGAAGGAUAUGUUCUAGCGGCGGACGGGUGAGUAACGCGUGAACAAUCUGUCCCAGACAGGGGGAUAACAGAUGGAAACAUCUGCUAAUACCGCAUAAGCCCACGACCCGGCAUCGGGUUGAGGGAAAAGGAGCAAUCCGCUUUGAGAUGGCCUCGCGUCCGAUUAGCUGGUUGGUGAGGUAACGGCCCACCAAGGCGACGAUCGGUAGCCGGACUGAGAGGUUGAACGGCCACAUUGGGACUGAGACACGGCCCAG
Molecule: ribosomal RNA, 325 nt
Filed under: uncultured bacterium
Lineage: Bacteria
Description: bacterial SSU rRNA
Rfam family: Bacterial small subunit ribosomal RNA
Source: RNAcentral